CGCGCAGGCGGGUUUGUCAGUCAGGGGUGAAACUCCUACAGCUUAACUGUAGAACUGCCUUUGAUACUGCAAACCUUGAGUUCGGAAGAGAGAGGCGGAAUUCCAGGUGUAGUGGUGAAAAUACGUAGAUAUCUGGAAGAACACCAGAGGCGAAGGCGGUCUCUUGGUCCGUAACUGACGCUGAGGCGCGAAAGCGUGGGGAGCGAAACA
This 210-nucleotide ribosomal RNA is filed under the name uncultured bacterium. RNAcentral's name for it is "partial 16S ribosomal RNA". It matches the Rfam family "Bacterial small subunit ribosomal RNA", at positions 568 to 775 of the family's 1533-position model. The record is from RNAcentral.